UACGGAGGGUGCAAGCGUGUCCGGAUUUAUUGGGUUUAAAGGGUGCGUAGGCGGCCCUGUAAGUCAGUGGUGAAAUACUGCAGCUUAACUGUAGCAUUGCCAUUGAUACUGUAGGGCUUGAGUACAGAUGAGGUAGGCGGAAUUGAUGGUGUAGCGGUGAAAUGCGCAGAUAUCAGGAGGAACACCGGUGGCGAAGGCGGGUCUCUGGGCCGAUACUGACGUGAGGAGCGAAAGCGUGGGGAGCGAAC
Molecule: ribosomal RNA, 248 nt
Filed under: uncultured bacterium
Lineage: Bacteria
Description: partial 16S ribosomal RNA
Rfam family: Bacterial small subunit ribosomal RNA
Source: RNAcentral